UGGGGAAUCUUGCGCAAUGGUCUAACGACUGACGCAGCGACGCCGCGUGUGGGAGGACGCCUUUCGGGGUGUAAACCACUGUUGCCCGGGACGAACACCUCUUUUCGAAGAGGCUGACGGUACCGGGUGAGGAAGCACCGGCUAACUCCGUGCCAGCAGCCGCGGUAAUACGGAGGGUGCGAGCGUUGUCCGGAAUCAUUGGGCGUAAAGGGCGCGUAGGUGGCCCGGUCAGUCUUUGGUGAAAGCGCGGGGCUCAACCCUGCGUCGGCCAGGGAUACUGCCGCGGCUCGAGCACUGUAGAGGCAGGCGGAAUUCCGGGUGUAGCGGUGGAAUGCGUAGAGAUCCGGAAGAACACCGGUGGCGAAGGCGGCCUGCUGGGCAGUAUGGCUGACACUGAGGCGCGACAGCGUGGGGAGCAAACA
Molecule: ribosomal RNA, 422 nt
Filed under: uncultured Gemmatimonas sp.
Lineage: Bacteria; Pseudomonadati; Gemmatimonadota; Gemmatimonadia; Gemmatimonadales; Gemmatimonadaceae
Description: bacterial SSU rRNA
Rfam family: Bacterial small subunit ribosomal RNA
Source: RNAcentral